This 14378-nucleotide long non-coding RNA is filed under the name Sorghum bicolor (sorghum). Its description in RNAcentral is "long non-coding RNA (SBIC_LNC011250)". The record is from RNAcentral. Lineage: Eukaryota; Viridiplantae; Streptophyta; Magnoliopsida; Poales; Poaceae.
UUUUAUUUUCGUCUAUAUUUAAUACUCCAUGCAUACGUCUAAAGAUUCGAUGUGACAAGAAAUCUGAAAAAUUUUACAAAAUUUUUUGGGAACUAAACAAGGCCGCAAUAUCUAACACGGAAAAUAAAUAUACAUACCUAAAAAUUUAGAACAGUCCAUCAAUUUAAUAAAUUAAUAAUAAACAAGUAAACACUAAUAACAUAAGAAAAACGAUUAAACAAAUAAGCUACACCCACACCUUAUUGAUGGCAUGUAGUACUUCUAUAUAUAAUAUUAAUAAAUGGGAAUCAAAGUAUAAAAAUGACAAAAUUAAAGCUACCCUAAAAGCCCUAAAAAAUAACAAAGAAAAAGCAAUCGACUGAAUGAACACGUAAAAGCCUCGGAUAAUUGAAGUUAUGUAAUUCUAAAAAAAUAUAGGGAGGAAUAAAGAAUGUCAUCUUCAAGAGUUUCUAAUACUUUUAUCUCAAAAAAAUUGUGCAAACCGGUCCCUUAUUUAUGAUUUUUUGCAUCAGGAACUCCGAUUUUGUUUGUAUACCCUUUUAAGGCCUUCCACAAGAUCUUCUGUCUUAUGUUUUUUCUCACCUGGAACCAUGUCUUUUCUCCUUUUUCUUUCCCACCCCUUCUACUUCUUAGCCUCGGACGCGGAGGAGCAGGGCGUCGGUUAAUUUAGUUUUGGAUAAUUGAUAAAAUUUAGAGACUAAUCCUAAUGUGAAGUGUGUAGACAUGUAAGGAUGGUCCCAUGCCAAGUGGUGGAGCUAGAGAUGAUGAUGGUGAUGACCAUAAGAUAAUCAAUUGCUCAACUUGAAAAAGAAGAAAGAGAAAAACAAAACCCGUUUGAUAAAGGUAAAGGUAUAACAUAGAAUGGAUUUUGUUUUGUACUCAAGACAUUAUCGAUGGCGUGAGUGAUUUAGGAUCGAUAGUCAUACUGUGAAGAGGGAAAAUUUAUGGCUAAAGCAGUUAUAAAGUGCCACUAGAUGAAUUUUUAUGAGCAUAUGCAUUAGGAACCUAAUGUGCUAAUAUUGACCCUUGUAAAAUGCUUUCAAAAAUGCUAAUACAUGUACACAUGGGUUAUACACUUAGUGGUUAGCAUCAUAGAAGCAAGGUGAAGAGGUUGCGACUUAGAAAAAGAAAAGGAGGCGCUGGUAGAGGACCGGACACUGCGUAGCUCCUUACCGGAGGCUGGGUCAGAGUCCGGUCAGUGUUGACUGGCGAGCACAGAGGUUGUGUUUCUAGGGUUGAGUAUCAAGGAUCUGCGAAAUCAGUCACCUUCUAGUAAAGACGGACGCACGAGACCGGAUAUCGGGUGAACACUAUUCACCGUCUGGUCUGACUGAUGUGGCGUGCAGUGAUGAGCGGAGGGAGGAUUGGACACAGAGGUGAGUUCGGUCACUAGGGACCAGAUGAAUCUGAUGGCAUUUUUGCAUUUUCGGAGCUGUCUGAGUUGCGAUCAGACUCUAGGGUCUAGCGUCUAGUCACUUUUGCAAGGUGCGUACGGUCAACCUCUAACAGCGCUGUGAUUUAUUUUGACCGUUGAGAUUCGACUCACUGAGGUCAAAGAGAAAGACACAUGGCGACAAUCUGAGCACCAGACGCUGAGGGCGUGCGCCCGAUCACCCUCACCUACGCGUUCGGUUGUUGCGCAAGUCGUGUGGUCAGUGAGCCAACGGCUCUAUCUCUUUGGGGGCUUAUAAAUAGUAUUUGGCUGGCUCCAAGAGAUCUCUCUUGUCACUUUAACAAACUUGAUAUCCUUGUGAGCCUAAGCAAACACCUCCCACUUAUCUUCAUCAUUGAUUAAUCAUUAUAAUAAGAUUAGGAGUGAUUCCAAGUGCAUUUGCUUAAGUGAUUGCAUCUAGUAGCACGUGGGGAUUGUUUAGGCUAUAGAAUUCUUAUUACUCUUAGUGGUUGUCUCUACCUAGACGACUUAGAUCAGCGGUGGAGAUCCAGCAUGUGUUGGUGAUUGUUCGAGGCCAGCUCCGAUGAUCUUGUGAGGGAUUCUUGUGCCUUCCUCGGCGGAGCACCAAAGGCAACUCUAGUGGAUUGUGCAUUUCAUUGAGCUACCUGAUAGAUUCUUGCAGUGUCCUACAUGAGGACGAGGUUCGUGCAAUACCUAUUAGCCGUCGAACCACCAAGUGUUGGUCGACAUAACGGGGACUAGCGUGUCGGCAACCACGUGAACUUCGGAAGAAAAAUCUUAUGUCUCUUGCCAUCUUUGGUAUUUCCUAGUGAUUAGAUUGUCUACUUAUUGAUUGGUUCACUUUCUCGACGCAAUGGUAUAUCGAUCACACCUCUCCUUUACUUAUCGUAGCUUGUUCUCUUGUGUAGACACUUUAGGUAGCUCUCUAGUGUAAGUAGUGACUUAUCAAGUGUGUGCUUACUGAUCAUAGAAACUAGAAUUGCUUGGAUAGGUGGCUUAUAACCCUCUUGGUAGAGCUAGAGCAAAAAAUUUUGCUUGGUGUUUAUCUAACUUGUGCUCUUGUAUUUUGUAGAUUUUAAAUUAGACUAUUCACCCCUCUCUAGCCAUAUUAGGACCUUUAAGUCAGAUAAUACCCUUAGAAAUUUUUUAUUUAGGGUUAUAAAUUAGUGACAGGGACUGAAUUUCCGCAAACAAAGCAGAUUUUGGCUUGCCAUGAAACACUGAACUCUGAUUAACAAAAUAGGUUAAACUCUAGUCAUAUCACUUCUUGCAGACUCAAUGGACAAGGGUAUCAUUAUAGGCAUACUAAUUAUAUCGUAACACAUCCCAAUCUCCCUAGCCAUUGUGCCGCACUCUCCUCCCGCCCCUCCCUCAUUCGCGUAGAACCCGCAGUCCUCGAGCUAUGCCAACUUUCCCUCUCCUCUAGCCCGUCUCUCUAGAUUCGCUCGUUCCCCACAAAGUUAGCGCCAUCGGGCGCCUCACCAUGCCCUAGCACCACCGGUGGUAGCCUCCUCCUCGCCACCCCUCACUCGACAGCCCCUCGUCCUCGCCACCCCUCGCCCGGCAGCCCGAAGCAGCAAGUGGUGGUGGCUGCCUUGGAGCAGCAGUGACAGCGACCUCCAUGGCCUUGAGUGCGGCAACAUCGAGUUUGGUUGUCGACCACCUUCUCCUCCAUGCCCUCGUGUAGGCACCAACCACCUUCGCCUCCACAGCUCCAUGCCACCAGCACAGUAACACUCCCUUUCACCCUCUCUCUUAGUGGGCCUCAAGUCGGGCCAGUCUACUAAAAAGAUCGUGCUCAUCAGGCAAGCCCGGCACAAAAAGUGGCCGUCGACGAGGCUCGGUGGACUAGGGUGGCAUGUUGUGCCUUUUCUGGCCAUCCUGAUCGGGCCGUGCUUGGCCUAGGGAUGUGUCAUGCUAGGCAGGGUAGCCCGAAUGCUCAUCUUUAACUAGGGCCUUGUUUACUUCCUAAAAAAUUUUGCAAAAUUUUUCAGAUUCCCCGUCACAUCGAAUCUUUAGACGUAUGCAUGAAGUAUUAAAUAUAGACGAAAAUAAAAACUAAUUACAUAGUUUGGUCGGAAUUGACGAGACGAAUCUUUUGAGCCUAGUUAGUCUAUGAUUGGACAAUAUUUAUCAAAUACAAACGAAAUUAGUACUAUUCACAUUUUGCAAAAUAUUUUGGAACUAAACAAGGCCUAUCUCCACUGUCAGAAGUGUGUAUCUAUAGAUCUUUUUUUUCUCUGUUAUAUAAAAAAAACGACUUCUUUUUCUCUUUCCUCCACAUCAACAAAUAACUACCGCUGACGUUCAACCGUAUAAUAUGCUUGUAUUUAUACUUCAAUCUGUUGGUAUUCUAGAUAAAGCUAGAGAAAAAACUUAUAAUUUGGAAUUUGAACGGAGUUCACAAUAAGAUUGUCCGAGUUGCAACGACGGAUCUCUCGAAUAGUCAAUACUCUCCUCAGUUGGUACGCGGUGAUGCCCAUCGAUCCGUACGCGUCGAUGGAUACAAUAUAAUAACGUUUUCCUGGCCGUGGCAUCAUCUGACGCGGAUAGGAUGCUGCUGGCUGCUGCUAUCUAUCCCACUCGAGGCACUCGCGCAUCACUAUUGCACCACUUCGACGUGUGCCAUAUCACCCAGCGAUCAUCUCCGGAAAACCCAACGAUCCAGGAACUUCCGCCUAUGCAAGCACUUAAAUAACUAGUCUGGUCACGUGCUCUGUGCCCGUACGUGUACGCCGCGCGCCACGCAGCUUUGCUUGUGCAGUCUGGUCGUGUUGGUUAUGAUACUUGCUCCUAUGUACAUACUACAUACCACAGGCACACCACUCGUGCAUCACGUUGCCCGCUCGUGCGGCACUGCUAUAUAUUGGGCGUGUCAAAGUGUCCUCGUUGCACCAACGACUAAGAAGCGCCACUUGCAGUUGCACAGCGCGGAGCCCCACAAGUAAACUAAUUGAAGGCACGCGCAACUUGGUUCGCGCGCGCGGCUGCUCAUCAUCUCAGUCAGCCAUGGCUUUGGAUGCGAAAGCUCUGCAGGCGGCGAAAGAGGCAGCAGUCCCUGUUGCCCUCGGCGCUGGCACCGCGAGGAGGCCGCCGCCGUCGUCUUGGAACGGCGGCGCUGCUUCACCUGCGACGACGACGUCCACCGCCACGUCCGUGGGCGUGCCGGUCCCGGUGGUGAUGCUCUGUAGCGACGACAGGAGGAUGAAGGAGGAACUCGUCGCGUGGGCCAAGGCUGUGGCGUCCUUGGUUGUCAGGGAGUCCUUGCACUGCUGAUCGAGGCCUGUGGCAUGUUUCCUUAACUUGCAGCCCCAGAAAAAGCUCUACCGCACCGGGGACGAAGCGAUAAUUCGGCCAUUUCUUCUUGGAGGAGUACUGGAGUUAAACAACUUUCACGGAUUCAGGACGAAAUUGCUCGUGUUUGUUCACCUUGCUAUGAGAGGCUGCUUCUGGUUCGUGAUCGACUGCUGACCAUGUGGGGCUGUACAUACAUACUUUGGCAAAUAGAACAUUUUAUCUACAAUUUAGCUAAAAAUGAAUAUCCUGACAGAAGACUAUAUUGUACUAUACAUUUUGAUAUGGAGUAUUGGCAAAAAUAAAUGUGUCGAUGUUAUGUACUAUAGUAAUGUCAUCUUCUCUUUUGUUACUUCGACCGGAUCAAGAUUUCUACUCAUAUUCAACACAGUAUAUAUCCAGCUUUUUUUUUUGGCUGACAAAGGUGGAUUUCCCGACAAUUUCUGAACUCUUAAGAUUUGUGUUUAAAUUUUCCUGAAGAGUCUUGGUUUAGGACUCGUGAAUGAAAGAAAAAGGGACAACAAUGGAUAAACAGAACACAUAUGAUCCGUGUGUGGUGGUCUCAACAUAGGAGUGUACUCUGUCAGAGGCAGUGUGCUUGACAUUUUGCAAAACGAAAGUGCUACGGUACCCAAAAUCUAAAAAAAUUCGGAACUGAACAAGGCCUCAGGCCUUGUUUAGUUUCAAAAAAAAAUUUACAAAAUAGACAAUGUAGCAUUUCGUUUGUAUUUGACAAAUAUUGUCCAAUCAUGGACUAAUUAGGCUUAAAAGUUUUGUCUCGCAAAUUACAGACAAACUAUGGAAUUAGUUAUUAUUUUUAUCUAUAUUUACUGAUUCAUGCAUAUACCGCAAGAUUUGAUGUAACAGAUAAUUUAAAUUUUUUUGCAAAAUUUUGUGGGAAGUAAACAGCUAGGCAAAAUGUCGCCUCGACAGCCUAGCAGGACGCAAGCAAAUCCUAGCCACAGGCCGGUCACACCAAGAUUAAGGCCUUGUUUAGUUGGAUAAAAAAUUUGGCUUUGGUUACUAUAGUAUUUUUGUUUGUAUUUGGCAAUUGUCUAAUUAUAGACUAACUAGUUUUAAAAGAUUCGUUUUGUAAAUUACAGGUAAAUUGUACAAUUAAUUAUUUUUUAAUCUAUCUUUUAUGUUCUAUACAUAUGUUUAAAGAUUCGAUGUGACUGAGAAUCUUCAAAAUUUUUAGAAACUAAAGACCUAAUUAAUUAUCCCGGCCCGCACUCUACCAUGCUAAAACAACAUCGAUCCUCUAGAGCUGCCAACGGAGUACUCCAUCAUCAGUUUCACACUAGCUAGCUAGCUAGCUAUAUGUGCCUCUUCGCGCAUCGAGAUCGAUCCCCCGGCCGCCCGCGGCGGCUGACGCCGACGAUGAUGCAUGCUACGCAGCGUGCGCGCCCGCGCCCUCGUUGGCCUGCGUCGCAUAGUGUGAUCGCGCGGAAGGCGGAACCAAUGCAACCGCCAGCUAGCUCCGGCCGCCUUGGCAGCGCCGUGCACUCCAUCAUGCUACCCAACAACACAGCCAACUGCUCCUGUCGUUUGGUUGCAGCGCGCGCGACACGCGCGAUCCGGGGAAAAAGGUGACAGACCAACCGCGCGCGCCACCUGCGACGAAAGCGUUGCGUUGCGCGCGUGUUCCACCACCAUCACACGAGACGCCGGACGCCGGACGAACGGAUCCGUGUCAGUCAAACUUUUUAAAAUUUGACUAACUUUAUAGAAAAGAGUAACAACAUCUAUAAUGUAAAAUGCACAUUAUAUGAAAAUAUAUUCUAUGAUGAAUCUAAUAAUACUAGUUUGAUACUAUAAAUCUUAGCAUUUUUUUCUAGAAAUUUAGUCAAAGUUUAAAAAGUUUGACUUAGAACAACUCUAGAAAUUGACUCUUUCGUGGACGGAGAGAGUAAUAUAUAUAGUAGGAGUGGGUACGUACUUGCGCAGAGACACCAUGGACGGAUGCAUACGGUAGAUAGUGGGUGCAGCUGCAUCCAUACAAAAAUAAAAAAUAGUAACUAUAGCUAAAUUUCAGUAUUUUCACAUCCUUGAAAUAAAAGUCUACAUAAGUCACCCUAAAUUUUCUAACGCGUUGCAUGCAUGCAGUCAUUGUCGAUGACUCAACGCUGCGGUUACACGUACAAUGAUAUUAAUUACUCCCACACGCGUAAAAUGAUAUUAAUUAGGUCUUGUUUAGUUCACUCUAAAAACCAAAAAAAAAAUUAAUAUUCUUCAUCAUAUCAAAUCUUGCGGCACAUACAUAAAGCAUUAAAUAUUGUAAAAAACCAAAAAAUAAUUACGCAAUUUGCCUAUAAAAUCGCGAGAUGAAUCUUUUAAACCUGAUUAGUCCAUAAUUAUAUAAUAAUUUUCAAAUAAAAACAAAAUUACUACGGUACUCAAAACCAAAAAAAAUUGAAAACUAAACAAGGCCUUACUCCCACACGCUCUUGUGGGUCACUUUCACAAUGCUUAUUGAUCCGCCACGUGCUACUCGUGCAUCACAUGCCCGCCUCCUUUUAUGCGGCAGCAGCACUAGUAUAUAUAGGGCGUGUUUGUGAGGGUGGCCCAGCUGGGCUUUGCGCCCGUGGGCUGCAAGUGCGCGUGUUUGCGCACUUGGCCCAGGUUGCAGCCCGGCUCUGGGUGGCCAAAACCGCCCUCUCCGCCUGGCUCCCGAGCGACGCCGCUAGGGUUCGUUUCUCUGGAGCUCGGCUGCGCGCGGCGCUCGGUUGGCGAUUUUGGGCACUUAUGGCGGGGCUCGGGUUGGCCGCGGCGGGCUCGCGCGGGAAGAUGAAACAUCCUGGCGUCAUUUCACACCCUCCCCAACCCUCGUCUAUAAGUAGACCCACAGCGGUCUCACUCCGUUCCUUCUCCUCUCCGAGCUCAAUCCACUUCUUCCUCAUGAGAGACCGGUGGCGGCGGCUCACUGGGCCGUGGUGGUGGUGUUCUCCUGUGGGCGGCGGUGAACUCCUUCGCCGUUUCGGGUGCUUGUUCGUGUGCUGCUGCCGAGACUCCGAGGAGGCGGUCUUCUACCUCUACUUCGCCUUCUUCUUCCUCUCCGUCGGAUCUGCAACCUCUUCUUCCUCUACUGUCGGAUCUGCAACCUCUACUUCCAGUUCUCCUUCCUCUGUCGUCAAACGACCCCGAGGCUAAGGUGAAAUCCUGAUUUUUUAUGUGCUGUAUUGUAUGAUGUUCAAUCUACUAGAGUUUGCUUUCAAGAUUGUUAUUUUACUUGUGUAUCUGCUCUGUUUAGGGUAGAUCUAUGAGCUGGUAUUUGCUUGAGAUGUGUGAGAUGCUUUCUGUGAGUUGUGAUCUGUUUCGUUCAUUUCUGAGUUGCAUUCAAUGGUCGAUGAUGUAGUUCGCAGUGUGCACUGGGAGGCAUUUUAUUUUGCAGCCGUGCACAGAACAAAUUUUUAUUGAUUCAUGUUGCAAACAAGUUGAUGCAUAGCAGGGUAUGAUUAGCUGAACUAUUCUUAAAUGGCAUGCAUGUAGAUGGAUCCCUCUUUGCGCCGGGAAAUGAUGCGUAGGCAGGCUGCUGCUAUGACUAUUGUGAUGGUGUCUUUUGUAAGCACUAAAAGUCCUGAACCUGGUACUGAGCCUGACCCCUUAACCCCUUGGAUUAGAGAGGAAAAUGAGCUGCACAGGUAGAGAACACUGGCACUUAUUUACAACUCCGCUGAUGUAGAGUGCAUAUCCAUGCUUAGGAUGAGAAGAUCAGCUUUUUUUGCUCUCUGUGAUUUGCUUAGGCACAGGCAGUUGGUGACAGAUAGGGAGGGGGUGUCUGUUGAGGAGCAAGUAGUUAUGUUCCUUCAUGUGGUUGGUCACAACCAAAGGUUUAGGGUGGUAAGACAUUCAUUUAGGAGAUCCAUUGAGACAGUGCACAAGCAUUUUCAUGUGGUCUUGAAUGCUGUUGGUGAGCUUAGGACUGAGGUCAUUAGGCCACCUAGCACAGCCACUCCUGCCAAGAUCCUUGGGAGUAGGUCUGGGAAAAUUACAACGUUAUCUGUACCCGAAUUACCCGGAUCCGGACCCGAAUUACCCGAACCCGAGGUACCCGAUCCUAAAUUCGGAUAGUGAUUUUGAUUACCCGAAAUUAGUUUGGGUAAUUCAGGUAAUAUCUUCCGGUACACGAACUACCCAAAUUACCCAAAUAUUUGUCUAUAUCUUUGUAUUUAUCAUGUGUUGUUAGUUAAAUAUUAGAACAUAUCAAUUUAUUAGAACAUAAUUCUCUUUGUUUGAACAAGUGAUAGUAAUAUACUAUUUUUAAAAAAAUGCUAUUGAAAUUCUAUACAAAUUGCUGCUGAAAUUUAUAUAUAAAUUGCUAUUGAAAUUUUGUAUAGUGUGUUGUUUUUUGAAAUUUCGGGUAAAUCAGGAAUACCCGAACCUGAACCUGAAUUAUCGGGUACCCGAAAUUGUGGGUACUGUUUUUUCAGGACUAAUAUCGGAUAACAAUUUUCAUUACCCGAAUUUUGAAUUACCCGACCCGAAAAAAUCGAGUAACCACCCGAAUGCCCAGACCUACUUGGGAGUCCUAGACGGAAUCCAUAUCUUAAGGUAAUUGUUUAGCUUGGGUUGCUGGUUUCAAGAAGAACAGCUACCAAGGGUUUCCAACAAAGGAAGAGGCAGUAGCCUCUUUCUUAGAGUACAUGGACUGUGAUGAAGAUGCCAUGGAAACCAAACUCUUUUCCAAACAACAAGGCAUCACUGAGCCCAAGCAAGUUGUUGGUACAAUGAACAUUUUCCUUCCUAUAGCUAUAUCUCUGUUUGUGCUUUUGCUGGCCAUGCUUAUGUAUAUAUCUAAAUCUUGUUGCACUUGUCCUGCAAAUAAGUAGGUCAUGCAGCUGUUUUAUGGUGACCUGGUAUGUUCUAUACCAAGGUAGGCACCCUGGUGUCUACUCUAACUGGACAGAACUAUGUUUGGCACUUGCUGGAGGUGACAAUAACUUGUAUCAGGCUUUCAAAACAAGGGAGGAAGCUGAUGCUGCUUUUCUAGCUUUCAGAUUAAGUAUUGUCUGCUGAACUACAUUAAUUGAAAUGGGUAAUGAUGUUAAAACUGAGGCCCAAUUUAGAUGUUGUAACAAGGAACAUUUGUGUGUGUUUUAUGUUUAUUUGCCUGCAUCUCUGCAUGCUUCAGUUCAAAACAUGUGAAUUGCUGUAUUUUGAUCAGAGGCUUGGCCGAGUUUCAUAUGUGCCAAACACAAUCUCCAAAAGGUAGUUGAGGCAGUUGGCCUGUUAGCAUGACUCCCAAGUUUCAACUGCUCCACAAACAUCAGCUACCUUAGGUCAGGCUAGUUUCAUACAAUGACACAAACAACAGCACUUGCUCUAAACAAGCCUGGCUUGGCUGAGCCUGGGUCUAAUGGGCUAGCCAGGCUGAGCUGGUACACCCUCACAAACGUGCCUAUAGAGCGUCCCAGCUGCACCAACCAAAAGACAGCUAAUAGAGGCGUAGAGCAUAGCAGAGCAGAGCCACUGUCCCACAGAGAGUUCUCCGAUCCAUUACACGCACACGCACAGAGGAGGCCAGCGCUUACUUCUAGGCGUGGUACGGUGGCCAUGGCUUUGGACGCCACAUCCGCGCCGGCGGUGUCCGUCCCUGACCUCGACGUCGGCACGGCAGCGAGGCGGUCGUCGUGGUCCGAGGACGGCGCCAACGACGACUACGCUUCGUCCGCGGCGGCGCGGCGGUGGCGGCCUGCUUGUCCGUCGAUGUGCCGGUGCUGUUGAGCGACAACGAGAGGAGGAUGAAGCGGGAGCUGCUGGCGUGGGCCAAGGCCGUUGUAAACAUGGCAAUUAGCCAAUCGAUGCAGUGCUGAGUAGUACACUAGUACACGAUAUUUCUCCUCGAAGAAAAGUCCUUGCUUUGCCGCCGGUCCGAUGGAUUAUUAGGCCCGUGCUUUUUGUACCGGCCCGAUCCGAAAUAAACCUACAUGCUGUGUCUAGGCCAUCAGGCACGGUGGCCUGUUGGGGCACAGCGCGGUAGCAUGCGGGUCAUAUGGGCCCAUGUCCUAUUAGGCCGUGCCUAGCACGGGCCAAUGCCAUGCUAGGCCGGGCCGGUCCUGCUCAACUUUUGUACCACACCUUGAUUGCUGCUAAUUCAUUGAUAUCGUCCUUUACUUCUUUUUGUACAGUAUAUUUCUCUCUCUUUUUUUGAAAAGUAUGGAGAAUAAUUUCGUGUAUGUACUUUUUUCCAUCCAUGCCACUAUAUGAUUUGAACUCUGUCCUUUUUGCGCGAGCUGUGGCGAGCCGCAAUCUUCACUAGGCACAAGGGAAACCGUGCUCCCUCCGUUCCAAAUUAAUUGUCGCUUUUGGUUUUUAUGUCAUAAAUUUAGUUUGAUUUAUAAAAAUAGGUGCAAUAUUUACAUCUUCAAAUAAAUUUGUUAAAAAAACUAGAUUCAAAGAUCUUUUCAACAAUACCAAUUAUGUACCCUAAAUAUUAAUAUUUUUUAAUAAUUCCUCUUUCUUUGAAAGUUUCAAUUCCUAGAAUCCGUGUCAGUUAAACUUUUUUAAGUUUGACCAACUUUAUAGAAGAGAGUAUCAAUAUCUAUGACAUAAAAUGAGUAUCUUAUGAAAAUAUAUUGUAUGAUAAAUCUAAUAAUACUAAUUUGGUACAAUAAAUCUUAACGUUUUUUUAGAAAUUCGGUCAAAAUUUAAAGAGUUAGACUUAAAGGCAACUUUAGGAAUUCAAGCUUUUAUUCACGGAGAGAGUAUAUAUUUAGUCAAAGUUAUUUUUUGAGAAACGCAAACAACAGUUAUUUUGAACGGAGAGAAUAUAUUUGAAUUGUCGUGGUUUGGGACAGCCUAUGGCAGUGUCAUCUUGAUCUCACAUAGUAUUUGGGUAUCAUUGGCACACUACAAGAAAUCUACCAUGUUUUUUACGUUUCAUUUAUGAGACAUAAUAUAGGUAAUUUCCAGGAGGCACCUUUUUGUAUUGAUGCCAAACAUUUGGAUAUUAUUUGUGCAAAAUUGAUACCUGUAAUUGAAUUGUUGUGUGUAUUUUUGAAUAAAGAAUUGUUGUGUGUAUAGUGGUAUGAUGUGAUGACAUUUGAAUCAUGUCUAUGAUACGUGUUCGCUGUUCUGUGAAUGACUUAAAUAAAUGUAAGCCACUAUUAUGUAAACAUCUAUUUCCUUGUCGUGGGGUGUAAUGAUAAUAGGUUCGAAUCAUUCGAAAGGCACUUCUCCGUUGGUUCAAAUGCAUUUUUCUAUCAGUUUUUUUCCCCCUGCGAUAGGUUAAAAUUCCUUGGGCUGGCAUUUCCCUUUCCCUAUCAUCAAAGAACCAACAAAGAAAUAUUAUAGGUUCAAUAAGAAAAUAGGUAAACCGACAAAAAGAUUUUCUAGCCCUAUCACUUAUGUUUUAUUGGUAUUUUUCUGUCGACAACCCGAUAGUUUCCGAUGUUGAUUUCUGGUUAAUGGCUACGGCGUGUGCUCAAGCUGCCUCUUGGCACUUUAAGACAUGUAUGAUGUGAUCAAAAUGAAAUGAACUAUUCUUUGAUUAGCAUCAAUUCAGCCAUAUAGUGAGUGAGUUAACAAGUAAAAAUCCAAUCAAUAUAGAUUUUGUUCAAUAUAGAUUGUGUGUUAUAUUCCUUAUAGUAAACUUGGAAUAAAAUGAACUUCUAUUUUGCAUAUAUUUUAGUAUAUGAAAUACAGUGAGCAAAUUAAUAUUUUAGUAUGAUUAACAGUAAUAUUAUGGAUAGUAAGUAUACGAAAUAUAUUUUACAUACACCAGUAUCAUCAUCAUCAUCAUCAUCAUCAUGUAUCCAAACCGAGACAUUCUAUUCCAAGAGAACCGAAAUCGUCUCCGGAAUGAAAUUGACAAGCCUGCGUAAGAAAAAGACAAGAAAAAAAAAUGACGUGACAGUAGACGCUGUGGUGAAUUUCAUCGUAAUUUGUCAUAAGGGCCUGAUUAAUGGUCUAAUUAUUUUCUAUCGAAAAGCCAAUCUUUUAACCUAGCCAUUUGUUGGUUCAAAUCCACUUGGGUCAACCGAUUUCAACUCUAAUUUAGCUAGGCCAACCCCAUUUCAGCCUAUACCAUUUGGAGGCUUCAUAGGCUUGGCCCAUGUUCUAGCAUAAUUUAGGUGUAGCGCAGGCCCACAUUUUGUGUACGCUCAUAUUUGAUUUUUCCAAUACGGAGAUAUAACCUAGGCAAAUUAAGAAAGUUUGAUAUUUCCAUAGCGACUCUUUUUUUAAGAUGGAGGGAGUACAUGACAACCAAUAAAAGUCAGAUGGCAUAUAAGGUCUUGUUUGGUUUGGGAGUUAAACUUUAACUCCUAUCAUGUCGAAUGUUUAGACAUAUGCAUAGAGUAUUAAAUAUAGAUUAUUUAUAAAACUAAGAUCUUGUUUAGUUCACCCAAAAACUAAAAGCUUUUCAAGAUUCUCCGUCAUGCGGCACAUGCAUAGAGCAUUAAAUAUGGAUUAAAAAAUAACUAUGCAUAGAGUGCCUGUAAUUUGCGAGAUAAAUCUUUUGAACCUAAUUAAUCCAUAAUUGGACAAUAAUUACCAAAUACAAACGAAAGUGUUGCAGGUCAAAAUACAAAAAAAUGGAUCUAAACCAAGCCUAAAAACACAACUAGAAAGUAAUUCGCGAGACGAAUCUUUUAAGCCUAAUUAGACCAUAAUUGGAUAAUAAUUACCAAAUUAAACAAGAAUACUACAGUACCUGUUAAACUUUAAUACUUCUUGAUAAAAAGGGGUGCAAAUCCUCUUAAAAAACUUUAACAUCCUCAACCAAACACGCUGUGUAGCUGCCGGCGAGGCCUGCAGGGUGCAGACGCCAGACGGUGCAUGUGUAAUGUACGCCUCUGAACUGUCUGUACCGAGCGGCGAUCGAUGCUGUACAACUACAUUUCUAGUUUGCCAUGUACAAAGAGUUCUUUGGGUACCAUUUACAAAAGUACUCCAAUCUCGUGCCCAACCCUUGGUUAUCUGAACUAAAAUGUGUGGACGCGUCAUUAAGCAUUAACACAAACACUAUUGUGGUGCUUCGUUUGGUUAAUAAGCUAUGAUUGGCUGAUUUGUGUGAGAGAAAAACACUGCUAAAUGGCUAACAGAUUUGGCUAAUAAGCUCUGCAUGUCUGAAUUCUGUAAAUAAUUUUCUUUUAUUAUAUUAAUAACAUGCAGUAGGGGUGCACUCCCCUCCUGUUUCCGUUAAAAAAACAAACUAUAUGUAUAUGUAUCCUUUUCUUCUUUGAAUCGUAUGUAUAUGUAUCGUACUAUUGCACGGCAGCAGCGCAGAGUUCGAUCAUCCAGGCGUCAAUUGGGGCCAUUAUACAGACUUGAGGAGGACAGUAAAGAAGUCUGAACUUAUUUGCUAACGAAGUUCAUAUUAGAGAACUGAUUGUAACACCCGUAUAGUAUAAUCAAUCACUUUGUGACUACUUCCUCCAGCUCCCUGAGGCCCCCAACCCUCUGCUCAAUCUCCUCCAGCAGCUCCUCCCGCAGGAGCUCCUCCCUCGCAGACGCCUCCAGGUCCUCUUGCUGCAUGCCAAUGAACAUUCAUUGCACAGUGCAGGAUAUAUAUAUCAGUAAAGUUAUCUGUGGCUAGGCUAACAGCUGCUUUGAUUAUUCUUCAUGCAGGCACUGUGCAUGCAAAAGGUGCGUGCUUUGCUUACCCUGUCGUAGUACCAGUGCACGGUUCCAUCUCCACCCGCGCUCCUGUACGUGUCACUGUCGUAGA